RNAcentral lists this unclassified non-coding RNA (807 nucleotides) under Arabidopsis thaliana (thale cress). The record is from RNAcentral. Lineage: Eukaryota; Viridiplantae; Streptophyta; Magnoliopsida; Brassicales; Brassicaceae.
CCAUGAUUGUAGACACUUUAGUAUAGUUGGGACACGUCGAGUAGAGUAGAGUUCAACAUCCAUCAACUUCUACCUAAACUCAGAUUCUUCUUUACUUUCAUCAUCAUCACCCUGAUCUCCACUUUCAGUCUAAAAAAGUGGCGUUUGAUGAGAAAAAGGAAAAGUGUUAAAAAAGAUUUUUUUUCCCUCUUAUCAUAUGUAUUCAAUUACAUGGAUAUCAAAUGACAUAUAUAUUAGGAAAACAAUUGACAUGAAUUAUAACUUUUGUUCAUGUCAUAAGCAGCUGAAGAAUUAUAUAAAUUUAAACAGUUUUACAAAAAUAUUAGAACGCGUUUUCAAUACUUCCAACCUCGUAUAUAUCUUCCAGAUGGAUUAUUAUAACUUAUUUUAAACCAUAUCCCACUCAUUCUGGCAGUCCAUACACGUACUUGACCACAUUGAGGAGCCUCUGUAUUUUGACUGUAUGCUUCUACGUAAUUACGAUACCUCAUGUUAAGCCCUUGCUUAAAGAGACAAUGCCAUUUUGUUAUAUUUUUUCCCUCGUCCUGAAGAUGAAUGGUUUUAAUAGCAUGGAAGUUUAGGUGUUGGACUCCUAAGUCUUUUUUUGUGUAGCGACAAUGAUAUUGGAGAAUUCUACCAGGACCGAGAUCGUUUAUGAUUACUAUUGUAUUUUUCUCGCAAGCUUCAGUUUUCGUAGAACAAAUAGCAGUAACUAAUAUGAAAAAUAUUAAACGUAACAUUUCUCGGAUCUAAAUUAAUUAUUGGAGAAACAAGGGCAUUAACAAGUAGUAUUUAUAAUUUUUUUUU